CCAAUAGCGUAUAUUAAAGUUGUUGCAGUUAAAAAGCUCGUAGUUGAAUUUCGGGAUUGACGUGACGGUCAUGCCUUAAGGGGUAUGAACUGUUGCUGUUGAUUUCUCACCUUCUGGAGAAACUUGAUGUCCUUUAUUGGGUGUCUUGCGGAUCCAGGACCUUUACCUUGAAAAAAUUAGAGUGUUUAAAGCAGGCAUUUUUGCUCGAAUACAUUAGCAUGGAAUAUUAGAAUAGGACGGCAUGGUUCUAUUUUGUUGGUUUCUAGGAUCACCGUAAUGAUUAAUAGGGAUAGUUGGGGGCAUUAGUAUUCAAUUGUCAGAGGUGAAAUUCUUGGAUUUAUUGAAGACUAACUACUGCGAAAGCAUUUGCCAAGGAUGUUUUCAUUAAUCAAGAACGAAAGUUAGGGGAUCGAAGACGAUCAGAUACCGUCGUAGUCUUAACCAUAAACUAUGCCGACUAGGAAUCAGACGAUGUUAAUUUUUUAAUGACUCGUUUGGCACCUUACG
RNAcentral lists this unclassified non-coding RNA (507 nucleotides) under uncultured Entrophospora. Its description in RNAcentral is "SSU rRNA". It matches the Rfam family "Eukaryotic small subunit ribosomal RNA", at positions 591 to 1092 of the family's 1831-position model. Lineage: Eukaryota; Fungi; Glomeromycota; Glomeromycetes; Entrophosporales; Entrophosporaceae. The record is from RNAcentral.